RNAcentral lists this transfer RNA (66 nucleotides) under Microcebus arnholdi (Arnhold's mouse lemur). RNAcentral describes it as "tRNA-Thr". It matches the Rfam family "tRNA". Rfam says of the family: Transfer RNA (tRNA) molecules are approximately 80 nucleotides in length. Their secondary structure includes four short double-helical elements and three loops (D, anti-codon, and T loops). Lineage: Eukaryota; Metazoa; Chordata; Mammalia; Primates; Cheirogaleidae. The record is from RNAcentral.
GCCCCUGUAGUAUAUUUAAUACUUUGGUCUUGUAAACCAAAAAUGGAGGUCAUUCUCCCUAGGGUA